UCCUGGCUCAGGAUGAACGCUAGCUACAGGCUUAACACAUGCAAGUCGAGGGGCAGCAUGACGAUGCUUGCAAUGUCGAUGGCGACCGGCGCACGGGUGAGUAACGCGUAUCCAACCUUCCCCUUAGUAGAGGAUAGCCCGGCGAAAGUCGGAUUAAUACUCUAUGUUCUUCUAAGCGGGCAUCUAAUUUGAAGCAAAGAUUGAUCGCUAAGGGAUGGGGAUGCGUCUGAUUAGCUUGUCGGCGGGGUAACGGCCCGCCGAGGCGACGAUCAGUAGGGGUUCUGAGAGGAAGGUCCCCCACAUUGGUACUGAGACACGGACCAAACUCCUACGGGAGGCAGCAGUGAGGAAUAUUGGUCAAUGGGCGCGAGCCUGAACCAGCCAAGUAGCGUGCAAGGACGACUGCCCUAUGGGUUGUAAACUGCUUUUAUGCGGGAAUAAAGUCAGGUACGUGUACCUGUUUGUAUGUACCGCAUGAAUAAGGACCGGCUAAUUCCGUGCCAGCCGCAGC
This 511-nucleotide ribosomal RNA is filed under the name uncultured bacterium. RNAcentral describes it as "bacterial SSU rRNA". It matches the Rfam family "Bacterial small subunit ribosomal RNA", at positions 17 to 518 of the family's 1533-position model. The record is from RNAcentral.